This 75-nucleotide transfer RNA is filed under the name Corchorus olitorius. It matches the Rfam family "tRNA". Rfam says of the family: Transfer RNA (tRNA) molecules are approximately 80 nucleotides in length. Their secondary structure includes four short double-helical elements and three loops (D, anti-codon, and T loops). Lineage: Eukaryota; Viridiplantae; Streptophyta; Magnoliopsida; Malvales; Malvaceae. The record is from Rfam by way of RNAcentral.
GUGGUCGUGGCAGAGAGGCCCAUCGCAACAGACUGUGACUCUGUAAAACCGCGGGUUCGAAUCCCGUCGAUCACC